AUCGCUUCUCGGCUCUUUGAGCUAAGAUCAAAGUGUAGUAUCUGUUCUUAUCAGCUUAAUAUCUGAUACACUCCCCAUAGGGGAGUCAGAAUAUUAAACUGAUUUUUGAAACCUGACGGAAUUCGGAGCUUGCUCCGACUCCGUCGCGAGUCAGCCCGGCAUUGCAGUUUCGCUGGGAAUGGCUCAAU
This is a small nuclear RNA of Ceratina calcarata, 188 nucleotides long. RefSeq annotates it as U2 spliceosomal RNA. The annotation marks the transcript as partial. The transcript has a single exon. The record is from RefSeq and is a predicted model, not a curated record. Lineage: Eukaryota; Metazoa; Arthropoda; Insecta; Hymenoptera; Apidae.